Molecule: non-coding RNA, 342 nt
Organism: Hydra vulgaris (swiftwater hydra)
Lineage: Eukaryota; Metazoa; Cnidaria; Hydrozoa; Anthoathecata; Hydridae
Source: RefSeq, a predicted model, not a curated record
AAGAUAUUACUAAAAUUAUAUAUGUGAAAAAAAGUUGUUUGGAAAGAAGAUUUAUAAGAAGAGGAAGGUGAAAUCCCUUUUAAUUGGGUAGAUAGCAAAACUAUUUACUGGCCACCAGGUACCAAACCUUUAAAUGCAAUGAAGUGUUGUCAAAAUCUUGGGAAAAAUUGGCUGAAGUUUCCGCUAAUAAAACUUAAGUUCUCUUCAGGUUCCAAUAUCACAGAUCUAGAUGAAGUAUCAAUGCAGCUUAUGUCUAGCAGUUUAUCAAUCUUAUCUAGAGGUUUCAUCAAUCUUAUUAAGAGUUCAUGUAAUAUUUUCAAAAUCAAAUAUGUGGAAAGGAGC